CGUGCAGGCGGUUUGGCAAGUCAGAUGUGAAAGCCCAGGGCUCAACCCUGGAAGUGCAAUUUGAAACUGCCAUUCUAGAGUAUGGGAGAGGAGAGUGGAAUUCCCAGUGUAAGAGGUGAAAUUCGUAGAUAUUGGGAGGAACACCCGUGGCGAAGGCGACUCUCUGGACCAAUACUGACGCUGAAACGCGAAAGCGUGGGGAGCAAACA
Molecule: ribosomal RNA, 209 nt
Filed under: uncultured bacterium
Lineage: Bacteria
Description: partial 16S ribosomal RNA
Rfam family: Bacterial small subunit ribosomal RNA
Source: RNAcentral